GAUGAAGAACGUAGCGAAAUGCGAUAAGUAAUGUGAAUUGCAGAAUUCAGUGAAUCAUCGAAUCUUUGAACGCACAUUGCGCCCGCUAGUAUUCUGGCGGGCAUGCCUGUCCGAGCGUCAUUUCAACCCUCAAGCCCCCGGGCUUGGUGUUGGGGAUCGGCGAGCCUCCGCGCCCGCCGUCUCCUAAAUCUAGUGGCGGUCUCGCUGUAGCUUCCUCUGCGUAGUAGCACACCUCGCACUGGGAAACAGCGCGGCCACGCCGUUAAACCCCCAACUUCUGAACGUUUGACCUCGGAUCAGGUAGGAAUACCCGCUGAACUUAAGCAUAUCAAUAAGCGGAGGA
This 343-nucleotide unclassified non-coding RNA is filed under the name soil metagenome. RNAcentral's name for it is "partial contains 5.8S ribosomal RNA, internal transcribed spacer 2, and large subunit ribosomal RNA". The stretch from base 1 to 120 matches the Rfam family "5.8S ribosomal RNA", at positions 35 to 154 of the family's 154-position model. The record is from RNAcentral.